This 487-nucleotide ribosomal RNA is filed under the name Aeromonas hydrophila. RNAcentral describes it as "partial 16S ribosomal RNA". Lineage: Bacteria; Pseudomonadati; Pseudomonadota; Gammaproteobacteria; Aeromonadales; Aeromonadaceae. The record is from RNAcentral.
GUUAGSCGGUGCUUCUUCUGCGAGUAACGUCACAGUUGAUACGUAUUAGGCAUCAACCUUUCCUCCUCGCUGAAAGUGCUUUACAACCCGAAGGCCUUCUUCACACACGCGGCAUGGCUGCAUCAGGGUUUCCCCCAUUGUGCAAUAUUCCCCACUGCUGCCUCCCGUAGGAGUCUGGACCGUGUCUCAGUUCCAGUGUGGCUGAUCAUCCUCUCAGACCAGCUAGGGAUCGUCGCCUUGGUGAGCCAUUACCUCACCAACUAGCUAAUCCCACCUGGGCAUAUCCAAUCGCGCAAGGCCCGAAGGUCCCCUGCUUUCCCCCGUAGGGCGUAUGCGGUAUUAGCAGUCGUUUCCAACUGUUAUCCCCCUCGACUGGGCAAUUUCCCAGGCAUUACUCACCCGUCCGCCGCUCGCCGGCAAAAGUAGCAAGCUACUUUCCCGCUGCCGCUCGACUUGCAUGUGUUAGGCCUGCCGCCAGCGUUCAAUC